UACGUGGGGAGCGAGCGUUGUUCGGAAUUACUGGGCGUAAAGCGCGUGUAGGCGGCCUAUUAUGUCAGGUGUGAAAGCCCUCGGCCUAACCGAGGAAGUGCGCCUGAAACUGCUAGGCUUGAGUACGAGAGAGGAUGACGGAAUUUCCAGUGUAGAGGUGAAAUUCGUAGAUAUUGGGAGGAACACCGGCGGCGAAAGCGGUUCUCUGGAUCGAUACUGACGCUAAGACGCGAAAGCGUGGGGAGCAAACAGG
This 253-nucleotide ribosomal RNA is filed under the name uncultured bacterium. RNAcentral describes it as "partial 16S ribosomal RNA". It matches the Rfam family "Bacterial small subunit ribosomal RNA", at positions 524 to 776 of the family's 1533-position model. The record is from RNAcentral.